UGCGUAGGCGGCGCGGAAAGUCAGGGGUGAAAUCCCGGAGCUCAACUCCGGAACUGCCUUUGAUACUCCCGUGCUAGAGAGCUGGAGGGGACAUCGGAAUUCACGGUGGAGCAGUGAAAUGCGUGGAUAUCGUGAGGAACACUAGUGGCGAAGGCGGAUGUCUGGACAGUAUCUGACGCUGAGGACAAGGCCAGGGGAGCGAAC
Molecule: ribosomal RNA, 204 nt
Filed under: uncultured bacterium
Lineage: Bacteria
Description: partial 16S ribosomal RNA
Rfam family: Bacterial small subunit ribosomal RNA
Source: RNAcentral